UCUGGCCUCGGCCCGAGUUGUAAUUUGCAGAGGAAGCUUUAGGCGCGGCACCUUCUGAGUCCCCUGGAACGGGGCGCCAUAGAGGGUGAGAGCCCCGUAUAGUUGGAUGCCUAGCCUGUGUAAAGCUCCUUCGACGAGUCGAGUAGUUUGGGAAUGCUGCUCAAAAUGGGAGGUAAAUUUCUUCUAAAGCUAAAUACCGGCCAGAGACCGAUAGCGCACAAGUAGAGUGAUCGAAAGAUGAAAAGCACUUUGAAAAGAGGGUUAAAUAGCACGUGAAAUUGUUGAAAGGGAAGCGCUUGUGACCAGACUUGCGCCGGGCUGAUCAUCCGGUGUUCUCACCGGUGCACUCUGCCCGGCUCAGGCCAGCAUCGGUUCUCGCGGGGGGAUAAAGGCCCAGGGAACGUAGCUCCUCCGGGAGUGUUAUAGCCCUGGGUGCAAUGCCCUCGCGGGGACCGAGGUUCGCGCAUCUGCAAGGAUGCUGGCGUAAUGGUCACCAGCGACCCGUCUUGAAACACGGACCAAGGAGUCAAGGUUUUGCGCGAGUGUUUGGGUGUAAAACCCGCACGCGUAAUGAAAGUGAACGUAGGUGAGAGCUUCGGCGCAUCAUCGACCGAUCCUGAUGUUUUCGGAUGGAUUUGAGUAGGAGCGUUAAGCCUUGGACCCGAAAGAUGGUGAACUAUGCUUGGAUAGGGUGAAGCCAGAGGAAACUCUGGUGGAGGCUCGCAGCGGUUCUGACGUGCAAAUCGAUCGUCAAAUCUGAGCAUGGGGGCGAAAGACUAAUCGAACCAUCUAGUAGCUGGUUACCGCCGAAGUUUCCCUCAGGAUAGCAGUGUUGUCUUCAGUUUUAUGAGGUAAAGCGAAUGAUUAGGGACUCGGGGGCGCUUUUUAGCCUUCAUCCAUUCUCAAACUUUAAAUAUGUAAGAAGCCCUUGUUACUUAAUUGAACGUGGGCAUUCGAAUGUACCAACACUAGUGGGCCAUUUUUGGUAAGCAGAACUGGCGAUGCGGGAUGAACCGAACGCGGGGUUAAGGUGCCGGAGUGGACGCUCAUCAGACACCACAAAAGGCGUUAGUACAUCUUGACAGCAGGACGGUGGCCAUGGAAGUCGGAAUCCGCUAAGGACUGUGUAACAACUCACCUGCCGAAUGUACUAGCCCUGAAAAUGGAUGGCGCUCAAGCGUCCCACCCAUACCCCGCCCUCAGGGUAGAAACGAUGCCCUGAGGAGUAGGCGGCCGUGGAGGUCAGUGACGAA
Molecule: ribosomal RNA, 1253 nt
Filed under: Arcopilus cupreus
Lineage: Eukaryota; Fungi; Ascomycota; Sordariomycetes; Sordariales; Chaetomiaceae
Description: partial large subunit ribosomal RNA
Rfam family: Eukaryotic large subunit ribosomal RNA
Source: RNAcentral